GAUGAACGCUGGCGGCGUGCCUAAUACAUGCAAGUCGAGCGAACAGACGAGGAGCUUGCUCCUUUGACGUUAGCGGCGGACGGGUGAGUAACACGUAGGUAACCUACCUAUAAGACUGGGAUAACUUCGGGAAACCGGAGCUAAUACCGGAUAAUAUUUCGAACCGCAUGGUUCGAUAGUGAAAGAUGGCUUUGCUAUCACUUAUAGCUGGACCUGCGCCGUAUUAGCUAGUUGGUAAGGUAACGGCUUACCAAGGCAACGAUACGUAGCCGACCUGAGAGGGUGAUCGGCCACACUGGAACUGAGACACGGUCCAGACUCCGACGGGAGGCAGAAGUAGGGAAUCUUCCGCAAUGGGCGAAAGCCUGACGGAGCAACGCCGCGUGAGUGAUGAAGGUCUUCGGAUCGUAAAACUCUGUUAUUAGGGAAGAACAAACGUGUAAGUAACUGUGCACGUCUUGACGGAACCUAAUCAGAAAGCCACGGCUAACUACGU
Molecule: ribosomal RNA, 496 nt
Filed under: uncultured bacterium
Lineage: Bacteria
Description: partial 16S ribosomal RNA
Rfam family: Bacterial small subunit ribosomal RNA
Source: RNAcentral